Molecule: non-coding RNA, 70 nt
Organism: Podarcis lilfordi (Lilford's wall lizard)
Lineage: Eukaryota; Metazoa; Chordata; Lepidosauria; Squamata; Lacertidae
Source: the annotation of a GenBank genome assembly
GUCGUAGCCUAGUGGUUAGAGCAUCUGCUUUGCAUGCAGAAGGUCCCAGGUUCAAUCCCCAGCAUCUACU